This 654-nucleotide ribosomal RNA is filed under the name uncultured bacterium. RNAcentral's name for it is "bacterial SSU rRNA". It matches the Rfam family "Bacterial small subunit ribosomal RNA", at positions 152 to 823 of the family's 1533-position model. The record is from RNAcentral.
AGAAAUAGGUGCUAAGACCGCAUAAGCGCCCAGGGCCGCAUGGCCCAGGGUGAAAAACUCCGGUGGUAUAAGAUGGGCCCGCGUCUGAUUAGCCAGUUGGCAGGGUAACGGCCUACCAAAGCGACGAUCAGUAGCCGGCCUGAGAGGGUGGACGGCCACAUUGGGACUGAGACACGGCCCAAACUCCUACGGGAGGCAGCAGUGGGGGAUAUUGCACAAUGGGGGAAACCCUGAUGCAGCGACGCCGCGUGAGUGAAGAAGUAUUUCGGUAUGUAAAGCUCUAUCAGCAGGGAAGAAAGAAGACGGUACCUGAGUAAGAAGCCCCGGCUAACUACGUGCCAGCAGCCGCGGUAAUACGUAGGGGGCAAGCGUUAUCCGGAUUUACUGGGUGUAAAGGGAGCGUAGACGGUUACGCAAGUCUGGAGUGAAAGGCGGGGGCCCAACCCCCGGACUGCUUUGGAAACUGUAUAACUGGAGUGCAGGAGAGGUAAGUGGAAUUCCUAGUGUAGCGGUGAAAUGCGUAGAUAUUAGGAGGAACACCAGUGGCGAAGGCGGCUUACUGGACUGUAACUGACGUUGAGGCUCGAAAGCGUGGGGAGCAAACAGGAUUAGAUACCCUGGUAGUCCACGCCGUAAACGAUGAUCACUAGGUGU